Molecule: long non-coding RNA, 3557 nt
Filed under: Homo sapiens (human)
Lineage: Eukaryota; Metazoa; Chordata; Mammalia; Primates; Hominidae
Description: non-protein coding lnc-ZFHX4-6:12
Source: RNAcentral
GUCUCUGAUUGGCAGGAGAGUCACGAACCGGUCAGCCCCGGGUCAGGGGCCGCAAGUGAGGACACUACAAGUGUCGAGGGGCCUAGGGGAAGCCGGGGCUUGGGAGGGCAGGGCUUUCUCUGCUUGCGGACAUCGCGAAGGGCCUCUGGCAGGCGCCGCCGGGUGGCGGCGAGACGCCUCCGCGCCUCCGGGGUUCCUUGUUCGCUGUCGGAGGAGGACCGGCUGAGGGAUGGCCUGGUGGGGAGGGAGCCCUCGGGCAGGUGGCUGCGUCGGGCCUGGGGCAGUUGUGCUGCGCUUGGAGACCUGCCCGCCCUCGGGGCCUGUGUGCACAGGGAGGAUAGGCUGUUUAUCUCUGCAGGCUCAGGAAGGCAGGUAGCUGGCCCGUCAGUCAUCCGCCCUGCAAAGCGCUCCCGAGAGACCCCGUAGAGCGGGCCAGCGCGCGCCUGGCCUGAGGUUUCCCGCCCCCGGAGGCCCUCACAUCUCCCCGUUCUGUAGUCAGAAGUCCAACAUGGUUCUCAAUGGCCUAAAAUCAAGGUGUCCACAGGAUUGUGUUCCUUUCUAGAGAGUAUUCCUUCAACAUUUAGAGAGUACCUGUGUGUGAUCUCUCUCAGGAAACACUUACAUAUUUUCUCUUUGUAUUAUUUUUCUGUUGCCAUUAUAACAAAUUACCACAAACUUAGUUGCUUAAAACAACGUAAAUUUAUUAUAUUAUUAUUCUAUAGAUCAGAUGUCUGACAAUAAUCUCACCAACCUAAGAUCAAGUUGACAGCAGGGUAGCACUCUUUACUGGAGACUGCAGGCUAGAAUCUGUUUUCUUGCCUUUUCCCAUUUUGGAGGCUGUCCACAUUCAUUGGCUCUUGGCCCCCUUCUUCUACCUUCAAAGCCUGCAAUGUUGCAUCUCUCUAAUCAUUCUGGCAUAAUCACAAGUGUUUCUCUGACCACAGCCAGGAAUGGUUCUCUGCUUUUAAAGGAUUCUUGUGAUAAAAUUGGACCCACCUGGAUAAACCAUGUCAGUCUUCCCAUUUCAAGAACCUUAACUUGAUUACAUGUGCAAAAUUCCUUUCCCUAUGUAAAGUAAUUUAUUCAUAAGUUCUAUGGAUUGGAGUAUGGACUUCUUUGGAGGACUGUUAUUCUGCCUACCACACUCUUGUACUGUAAAUGAGUCACUGUGGAAAGGUAAUAGGUUGUAGCUUCUGAAAAUAAAGAUAAAUGUUAGCUAGAUUGUUAACAGUAGUGUCAGUAUCAUUUAUGACUCUACUGGUUGUUGAGAGCGAAGUUGGCUUAGUAGAAUGCUUAGGUACUGCAGGGCUCACUGAUUAUGUCUUUGUCUCCUAGGAUUUUUAUUCUACUAGAGAGGGAAGAAUACAUUCAUAUUUGUUGCAUAUCUGCCGUGUCCUAGGUACUCUACAAUGAACUACAGAUACAUUAAUCCCAUUUAAUUUCCACAAUAACUUUAUGAGGUGUGGUAGGAGGCCUUCUAAGAUGACCCAAUGAUCUCCAUCACAUAGCACUCACCCCCUUGUAUAAUCUCCCUCCUUUGAAUGUAAGCUUAACCCAGUGACUCUACCAAUGAACAGAGUAGGACAAUAGUGAUAGUAUAUCAUUUCUGAGAUUGGAUUCCAGAAAACUAUGACUUGUCUCUCACUUACACUGUCUGUCUCUUGCCCUCUUAUUUGCUUGCUUUGAUGAAGCAAGCUGCAGUGUGGUAAACUGCCUUUGAAAGAGACCCACAUGUCAAGAAACUGAGCAUCACCUGUGACCAACAGCCAGAAAGUAACUGAAGCCCCAAGACGAACAGCUUGUGCAAAACUAAAUUCUGCCUACAACAAGAGCAUGAAUUGAGACGCAGAUCCUUCCCUAGUUGAUCCUUGAAAUGCUUGCAGCUCUAUGGACACCUUGAUUGCAGCCUUGUGAGAAAUUCUGAACUAGAGGACCUCGUAUGCCUUACCCAUAGGUCUUACAAGAUAAUACGUGUUUUUCAAAAAAGUAAGUUUGGGGAUAAUUUCUUAUGCAGCAAUAGAUAAUGAAUAAUAAAGUAAAUACAGUUUUUUGCUGUUGACUUCAAAAAUGUUUAAAGAUUUUACUGUUAUAUAAUUGUACAUAUUUAUGGGGUACAUGUGAUAUUUUGAUACAUGCAUACAAUGUGUAAUGAUCAAACUGGGGUAAUUUGAAUAUCCAUCACCUCAAAUGUUAUUUAGUGGUAUUGGGAACAUUCCAAAUCUUGUAGGUAUUUUGAAAUAUACAAAAAGUUAAUUUUAUAUAUAAAUAUAUGUCAUAUAUUAUUAAUAUAUUAAUAAUAUAUGCCAUAUAUAUAUAUGUAUGUAUAAAUGCCAUAUAUAUUAAUUACAUGUAUGGCAUGUUUUCUUUUAUACAUUUAUCCACUGAUAAACACUUAGGUUCCUUCCUUACCUUGGCUAUUGUGAAUAGUGCUGCAAUAAACAUGGGAGUGUAGAUAAUCUCUUUGAUGCACUAGUUUUCUUUCUUUUGGAUGUAUACCUAGCAGUGAGAAUGCAGGAUCAUAUGGUAGAUAUAUUUUUAGUUUUUUGAGGAACUUUCAUACUGUUUUUUACAGUGGCUGUGCUUAUUUACAUUCCCACCAACAGUGUGUGAGUGUUCACAUCCUUGCCAGUAUUUAUUAUUUUUUGUCCUUUGAUAAUUUUAACUGGAGUGAAGUGAUAUAAUUGUGGUUUUGAUUUGCAUUUCCCUAAUGAUUAGUGAUGUUGGGUAUUUUUUUUAAUACCUGUUGGCCAUUUGUAUGUAUUCUUUUAUGAAGCAUCUAUUUAGAUCAUUUGUCCAUUUGUAAAUCAGAUUAUUUGUUUUUUUGCUAUUGAGUUGUUUGAGUUUCUUAUAUGUUCUGGUUAUUAAUCCCUUGUUGGAUGGAUAGUUUGCAAAUAUUUUAUCCCAUUCUGCAGGUUGUCUCUUUAUUGAUUGUUUCCUUUGCUGUGCAGAAGCUUUGCUUUAGUACAGAUAAUAAAACAAAUACUUGGAAAGAUUAGGCAACUUCCUGGGUCACUUAAUUAUUAGUAGAAGCUCUUUCCACUGCAAAUAGUGAUGAUAAUAGUAAUAAAAUUGAAGUAUUAGUAGUUGCUUAUGUUUAUUGAGCAAUUACUAGGUAUUAGACAACUUUCAGUGCAUUUUAUAUGUUAUAAUCUUAGAUUAUUACAACUUUAUAAAGUAGGUACUAUAAUUAUCUCAUUUGAUAAAUGAUGAAAUUGGAUUUAAGAGAGGUCAAACUAUAUUCCCAAGAUCCGCAGUGAGCCAGUAGAUUGGCAGGAUUUGAACUCAGGUUGUAUGGCUCUUGAGUUCUCACUCUUACCACUAUAAUAAAUUGUUCCCUAAAGAUCCAUGCUAUGAGGCAAAAGGUGAUGGUGCAGCAGGAAGAAAUGAAAGGUUACAGUCUGUCAGGCGAAUGAGAUUAUCCCUGACCAAGUUAUUAGGAAAUGCUGUGGCACUAGGAAGGUAUCCGACAUGGCUCUGAAAGGCUGGGUAGAAUUUAAGCUUCUGGCUGUUAGAGGAAAGAGCAUAAUCAGCUGAGCAAGACAGCUGGAGAAGCAUGA